UGGGGAAUAUUGCACAAUGGGCGCAAGCCUGAUGCAGCCAUGCCGCGUGUGUGAAGAAGGCCUUCGGGUUGUAAAGCACUUUCAGCGAGGAGGAAGGUGGUGAGCUUAAUACGCUCAUCAAUUGACGUUACUCGCAGAAGAAGCACCGGCUAACUCCGUGCCAGCAGCCGCGGUAAUACGGAGGGUGCAAGCGUUAAUCGGAAUUACUGGGCGUAAAGCGCACGCAGGCGGUUUGUUAAGUCAGGUGUGAAAUCCCCGGGCUCAACCUGGGAACUGCAUUUGAAACUGGCAAGCUAGAGUCUCGCAGAGGGGGGUAGAAUUCCAGGUGUAGCGGUGAAAUGCGUAGAGAUCUGGAGGAAUACCGGUGGCGAAGGCGGCCCCCCUGGACGAAGACUGACGCUCAGGUGCGAAAAGGCGUGGGGGCAGCAAAACAGGAUUAGAUACCCUGGUAGUCCACGCUGUAAACGAUGUCGAUUUGGAGGUUGUGCCCCUUGAGGCGUGGCUUCCGGAGCUAACGCGUUAAAUCGACCGCCNGGGGAGUACGGCCGCAAGGUUAAAACUCAAAUGAAUUGAC
RNAcentral lists this ribosomal RNA (574 nucleotides) under uncultured bacterium. RNAcentral describes it as "partial 16S ribosomal RNA". It matches the Rfam family "Bacterial small subunit ribosomal RNA", at positions 355 to 914 of the family's 1533-position model. The record is from RNAcentral.